This 837-nucleotide ribosomal RNA is filed under the name uncultured marine bacterium. RNAcentral's name for it is "bacterial SSU rRNA". It matches the Rfam family "Bacterial small subunit ribosomal RNA", at positions 65 to 906 of the family's 1533-position model. The record is from RNAcentral.
AGCGAAGCUUUUUGGUAGUUUACUACUAGAAAUGACUGAGCGGCGAACGGGUGAGUAACGCGUGAGCAAUCUACCUUAGUUACUGGGAUAGCCCGAGGAAACUCGGAUUAAUACCGGAUAUUCUUAUUUUUUUCACAUGAAGUUUUAAGGAAAGGUCAGCCGAACUAAGAUGAGCUCGCGUUCUAUCAGCUAGUUGGUGGGGUAAAAGCCUACCAAGGCUACGACGGAUAGCUGGUCUGAGAGGACGAUCAGCCACACUGGGACUGAGACACGGCCCAGACUCCUACGGGAGGCUGCAGCAGGGAAUAUUGUGCAAUGAGCGAAAGCUUGACACAGCGACACCGCGUGUGGGAUGACGGUUCUAGGAUUGUAAACCACUUUCAGGAGGGAAGAAAAUGACGGUACCUCCACAAGAAGACCCGGCCAACUAUGUGCCAGCAGCCGCGGUAAUACAUAGGGGUCAAGCGUUGUCCGGAUUUAUUGGGCGUAAAGAGCUCGUAGGCGGUUCAACAAGUCGGUCGUAAAAGUUUAGGGCUCAACCCUAAAAUGUCGAUCGAUACUGUUGUGACUAGGAUACGGUAGAGGUGAAUGGAAUUCCGAGUGUAGCGGUGAAAUGCGUAGAUAUUCGGAGGAACACCAAUUGCGAAGGCAGUUCACUGGACCGUGAUCGACGCUGAGGAGCGAAAGCUAGGGGAGCAAACAGGAUUAGAUACCCUGGUAGUCCUAGCUGUAAACGAUGGAUACUAGAUGUAGGAACUGGAUUGACGGUUUCUGUAUCGUAGCUAACGCGUUAAGUAUCCCGCCUGGGGAGUACGGUCGCAAGACUAAAACUCAAAG